RNAcentral lists this ribosomal RNA (234 nucleotides) under uncultured bacterium. RNAcentral describes it as "partial 16S ribosomal RNA". It matches the Rfam family "Bacterial small subunit ribosomal RNA", at positions 96 to 334 of the family's 1533-position model. The record is from RNAcentral.
UGGCGGACGGGUGAGUAAUGUCUGGGAAACUGCCCGAUGGAGGGGGAUAACUACUGGAAACGGUAGCUAAUACCGCAUAACGUCGCAAGACCAAAGAGGGGGACCUUCGGGCCUCUUGCCAUCGGAUGUGCCCAGAUGGGAUUAGCUAGUAGGUGGGGUAACGGCUCACCUAGGCGCGAUCCCUAGCUGGUCUGAGAGGAUGACCAGCCACACUGGAACUGAGACACGGUCCAG